This 254-nucleotide ribosomal RNA is filed under the name uncultured bacterium. RNAcentral describes it as "partial 16S ribosomal RNA". It matches the Rfam family "Bacterial small subunit ribosomal RNA", at positions 524 to 776 of the family's 1533-position model. The record is from RNAcentral.
UACAGAGGGUGCGAGCGUUAAUCGGAAUUACUGGGCGUAAAGCGUGCGUAGACGGUUAUUUAAGUCGGGUGUGAAAGCCCCGGGCUCAACCUGGGAAUUGCAUUCGAGACUGAAUAGCUAGGGUACGGUAGAGGGAAGUGGAAUUUCCGGUGUAGCGGUGAAAUGCGUAGAUAUCUGGAGGAACACCGGUGGCGAAGGCGGCAUCCUGGACCAACACUGACGCUGAGUGAGCGAAAGCCAGGGGAGCAAACGGG